RNAcentral lists this ribosomal RNA (1486 nucleotides) under uncultured prokaryote. RNAcentral's name for it is "partial 16S ribosomal RNA". It matches the Rfam family "Bacterial small subunit ribosomal RNA". The record is from RNAcentral.
AGAGUUUGAUCCUGGCUCAGGAUGAACGCUAGCGGCAGGCUUAACACAUGCAAGUCGAACGGUAACAGAUCUAGCUUGCUAGAUGCUGACGAGUGGCGAACGGGUGCGUAACGCGUAUGCAACUUACCCUUAACUGGAAGAUAGCCUUUCGAAAGGAAGAAUAAUAUUCCAUAAUAUUUUGAAGAGACAUCUCUUUAAUCUUAAAGCUUCGGCGGUUAAGGAUAGGCAUGCGUCCUAUUAGUUAGUUGGUGAGGUAAAAGCUCACCAAGACAUCGAUAGGUAGGGGGCCUGAGAGGGUUAUCCCCCACACUGGUACUGAGACACGGACCAGACUCCUACGGGAGGCAGCAGUGAGGAAUAUUGCACAAUGGACGAAAGUCUGAUGCAGCCAUGCCGCGUGCAGGAUGAAUGCCCUAUGGGUUGUAAACUGCUUUUAUAUAGGAAGAAACUUUUCUACGUGUAGAAAACUGACGGUACUAUAAGAAUAAGGACCGGCUAACUCCGUGCCAGCAGCCGCGGUAAUACGGAGGGUCCAAGCGUUAUCCGGAUUUAUUGGGUUUAAAGGGUCCGUAGGCGGGAAAUUAAGUCAGUGGUGAAAGCCUACAGCUCAACUGUAGAACUGCCAUUGAAACUGAUUUUCUUGAAUAUAGAUGAAGUGGGCGGAAUAUAUCAUGUAGCGGUGAAAUGCAUAGAUAUGAUAUAGAACACCGAUUGCGAAGGCAGCUCACUAAACUAAUAUUGACGCUGAGGGACGAAAGCGUGGGGAGCGAACAGGAUUAGAUACCCUGGUAGUCCACGCCGUAAACGAUGAUUACUCGUUAUUGGCGAUAUAAUGUCAGUGACUAAGCGAAAGUGAUAAGUAAUCCACCUGGGGAGUACGAUCGCAAGAUUGAAACUCAAAGGAAUUGACGGGGGCCCGCACAAGCGGUGGAGCAUGUGGUUUAAUUCGAUGAUACGCGAGGAACCUUACCAGGGCUUAAAUGCAAAAUGACAGAUCUGGAAACAGAUCUUCCUUCGGGCAGAUUGCAAGGUGCUGCAUGGUUGUCGUCAGCUCGUGCUGUGAAGUGUCGGGUUAAGUCCCAUAACGAGCGCAACCCCUAUUUCUAGUUGCCAGCGAGUAAUGUCGGGGACUCUAGAGAAACUGCCGGCGUAAGCCGCGAGGAAGGUGGGGAUGACGUCAAAUCAUCACGGCCCUUACGUCCAGGGCUACACACGUGCUACAAUGGCGGAUACAAAGGGCAGCUACUUGGUGACAAGGUGCUAAUCUCUAAAGUCCGUCUCAGUUCGGAUCGAAGUCUGCAACUCGACUUCGUGAAGCUGGAAUCGCUAGUAAUCGCGUAUCAGCAAUGACGCGGUGAAUACGUUCCCGGGCCUUGUACACACCGCCCGUCAAGCCAUGGAAGCUGGGGGUGCCUGAAGUCGGUGACCGAAAGGAGCUGCCUAGGGUAAAACUAGUAACUGGGGCUAAGUCGUAACAAGGUAGCCC